This is a long non-coding RNA of Sapajus apella (tufted capuchin), 5447 nucleotides long. RefSeq lists it as uncharacterized. The record is from RefSeq and is a predicted model, not a curated record. The transcript is spliced from 3 exons. NCBI's taxonomy places the organism in Eukaryota, Metazoa, Chordata, Mammalia, Primates, Cebidae.
UCAAGUGUUCUCGGCCUCCCAAAAUGCUGGGAUUACAGGUGUAAGCCACCAUGCCUGGCUUAAAGCCCUUUUUAAAUGAGGAGUUGUUGGUCCUCUUAGACACAGAACAAGUGUGUUAAAUAAAUGAGACAGGAGACAUCAAAUGGUGACUAGUUUGUUGUUUUUUUUACUGAACCAUGUUAACUGAAAUGAGGAGGACACAGAGGGGACAACAGGGUCAGGAAACUUUUAUGAAGGUGUAAUGUUAAUACGAUGGCACUUCUGCUGACAGUGUCCUCCUCAGAAGUUGCCUGCCCUGAGGCUCCUUAAAACAGACUAGCUGAAUUUCCAUACCUGCCCCUGCUGUUCUCUUUGCCUCACUAGUUGUCUUCCUCCAAUUUCUUCCCAAGUGAGCCUUCAUGAUGUAUUCAUGAUGAGCCUUUGUGAUAUACUCUUCAAGACCAGCCUUUUAGCAAGAAAGGGUUUUAUAUCUAGUCUUUUAUAUCUCUGUUAAAUGUGGCAAGCAGAGAAAACUUUAUAGCCAUCACUUAGAUGAAAUAUAGCAAUGUAACGAAACCUAUGUUAUAAAAACCACGUUUGUUUUACUUUCCUUUCUCUUUGUCCUUAACUUCCUCCAGUCAGGAUUGCUUGCACAUAGUCAUUUUGGUAGUGGGUAGUCACUAAUAAGUGAUUAACUUCAUAUCCUAACCCCCAGGGGAUGUUUGCAAGAUUAAUGAGCUUGUUUUUCUUAUAAAGAACAAUGAUCCUUGGUCAUGCUGACCUCCUUGAUAGCAUGCAGAAGUUUGGCCAAGGGAUGCAAGCAGCUUUGAUAAUCAGGAGAUCUCACUUCCCACACACCUUCCUUACUCAUAAAAGCCACCAGUUAUGUUCAAAGGGAGGUUGAUAUGAGAAUUUGCCUCUCCCACCCUCAUAUUUUGGUAAACUUGAAAAAACCUUUCUCUGCUCUGAGGCACUGAUAUGUCAGUGUUUGGCUUACCGAGCAACAGGUACCUGAACCAAACUUACAGCGUUGUGCAACAGAUUUUGUCAACCAUGCUAGGGCUAGCAUGGCAGCAGGCGCGGGCCGUGUCAGGCGAAUGAGUUCCAGAAGCUGCCCAGGUUUGUUUGUUGGGGGGCCGUAAAGUCAGUCUUCUGCGUCAGUGUCAGCUGCCGUUGGUGCUCUAGAAGCUUAGAGCAGAGAAACAUUUCAGACUGCUAUCUGGACUUCCAGUUUUGGUUUGAAGCGUAAGUCGCUGCUGUGUACACAGCCACAUCUCUCAUUCUCUCUGCUUAUAAUGUGAAUAGGGCAUUCUGGGGAGUAAUAGAAUGGUGGAUUAUACCCAUUUGCUUGUUUCCUGUAAGAGUUUGGUUUUUUUGUUUGUGAUUUUUUGGGCUUUUUUUGUUUUGUUUUUUUGGGUUGUGUGUCUGUGUGUGUGUGUUUGUUUUUUGGGGGGUGUGUGUGUUUUUAGUGUGUGUGUGUCUGUGUCUGUGAAAAGACUGAACAUGGUAAAUUUGGAAUUGAUCCCACAGAGUAGCAUCCUUGGCUGUAUUCUCCAGAUUUGGGCCACUUUCAGCUAUGAGUUCAUGAAGAAAAAUAAAAUGCUUUUUUAUUGUAACGCUGCUUGGCCAGAAUAUGUCUUAGAGUUUGGGGACAAAUGGCCGACACACUGUUCUUUAAGUUAUGCUACUAUAAUGCAACUGGAACUAUUCUGUAAGACAAGAGAAAAUAGGAUGCAAUCCUGUAUGUCCAGGCUUCCAUGCUCUUAUAUCAGAAUGAACCUACUCAAAAGAGGUAUAAUUUGAUGCUGCAAAAGAAAAAACAACCUAAACCUACGGUUUUACACUCCCCCUCAUUAGAUGGGGAAGACAGGACACUGGUGCUUUGAAUCCCCUGAAUAAUCAUCCUGAUCCUCUGCCCCUUCCCCAGUCAGCUGUAGCUCCAGCACCACCCCCUCCUUAUGGGAUUGUCUGGAGUAGGAGGGGAACACUCCCAAACCUGUCCUCCCUAUGGAAUUAGGGUAGGCUGUGGUCUCCCCUUCCUGCAAUGAACAGAAAACCCAAUUUGGCCAGGGAGCCACUGGCCCCUUGGUAGGGCAGUUUCCUUUGCAUCAGUUCCCUACUAGGGGACUAAACGUGAAUGGACAACAGGUUGGCAUGGUGUGGGUACAUUUCCUUUUCCCACUUUGGAUCUGUUCAGUUGGAAAAACAGUAAUCCCCCCUAUCCCAAUGUAAGCGAAUGGCUGAGCUCUUCUUGUCUAUAUUUCUGACCUAUCAACCCCACAAGGCAGAUAUUCACUUUGUUAAAGUGCUGCUCACGUCAGAAGAAAGGCAUGUAGUCACAGAAAAGGCUAGGGAAGAGGCAAACCAGCUCUGUCUGGAGGUGGGAAACAAUCGCCCCUUGCAAAGGGUCAGUCCCCAACACAGAGCCCAACUGGGAUGUAAAUGAUGGGGUCUUUCCCACUUAGGACACUAUCAGAAUUACAUUAUUGAAGGUUUAAAGAAAGGGGUUCCUCAGGUAAAGAACCUCAAUAAGGUACAGGAAGUUCAGCAGCAAGCAUAUGAGGACCCUUCAUAAUUCAUAGAAAGAUGUCAUCAGACAUAAUGAAAAGUAGAUUGACACUAACCCUGAGGCACCCGACAAUCAGAGAAUGGUCAGUGUGACCUUAAUCAGCCAGAAGCCCUGAUAUUCAAAGAAAACUGCAAAUAGUAAGUGAGAUCCUUGGGUUGCCAAUCUCAUAGUUAGUGGAGUUAGCUUUUAAAGUAUACUAUGCUCAGGACGAGGCUCAGGAAAAGUGCAAAUUGAAGCAACAAGUAACCUGCUGGCAGCUGCACUUGACUACCAACCUAAAGGAAAAGGAAGAAAUCAAAGUUAAGAGGGGUCCAUGCCCCCUUAUGAAAAAAAAUGUGCCUAUUGUAAGAAGGAGGGACAUGGGAAAAAGGACUGUCCCAAAUUGACCAAAGCAGCUGGCAAGUGCAGUCUCCCUCAAAAUCAGAUGAGGAGAGAAAAGAAUAUUUAGAUGAAGACGGAUGUAUCACAGGGAGUCCCUUAGAUUUGGAGCAACUGGUGGCUAUAUCCCCACAGGAGCCCUGGAUACAACUGACAGUGGGGAACAGAAUGAUGGACUUUUUAGUUGACACAGUGCCACAUAUUAAGUAAUUAACAAUUGUCUCUCUCCAACUUUGGGAAAAACCAUUACUGUUACAGGAAUACUGGGAGACACCAUUACCCCUUUAUACAAUCCCUAGGUUACCAUUUAGGAGUGACCAGCUUAGAGCAUAGUUUCUUAUACAUGCUUAAUGCCCAGUGUCCCUCCUGGGCUGGGAUUUGCUUGCCAAAUUGUAUGCUCAACUUCUUUCCCCUCAGAUGCCUAGAUAUAAUGAUUCCUUCUGAGUAAGUUUGCAGGUUUCAAAUAUUCCUGCUCCAACCAGAAAACGAAGAGGUUCAGGUCAUUCCAGAAGAAAUUCUCAUGCAGACAUGCCACUUCAUCCCUUCCAGGCUGCAGACCAAGUCUUAAUUAAAACCUGGAGGGAGACUGGAUUCGAUCACCAACUAGUCCCUCAAAAGGUAAGACUCUAUGAGGAUCUUCUGAUCGUGCAUUCAUCUAUCAGGCAGGAAUUAAACCAUGGGUACCUUAUACCUGGAUAAAAAUUGCCCCUCCUCAGCCCAACCUAUCAGUUUAACAGACCUGAAUGGAUAUGUGAACCAACUAAAAACCUGAAGCUGCUUUUUAAGAAAAUAUCCAUAGAUAAAUGACACCUUCUGUCAUUUAAUUUUGAGAUUCCUGCUAAAUACCACAGUAAUAAAUGCUUAUAGUAUCUGCUGAAACCAAUCUUUUCCUACAAUGGGCACAUUAUGCACAUAGCCUACAGAAGCUCAUUGAGUUUGAGGACUGUUACCUAUCUCUAGCACCUCUGUAUUACCUUGGUGGGUCUUGCCCUUGCAAGGAGACCACUGGGUACAUUAACAAACUUUUAUGAAAUACCAUUCCAAUAAAAACUAGGUCUCUGGUGUGCUAACAUGAGAAACUGUAAGGCCUGGCAUUAAUAGAAUGCUUCACAACCCAGGUCACAGAAAAUCUUUUACUAUAAAUCAGUGUUCAACAAACUUCUGAAUAUACUACUCUCAUGAAGGAAUUUCCCUCGGCAGCUCCCCAAAUUUUGGCUAUUAACAGCCGCUACACUGAAGAAAGUUUUUUAUCACACUUGGGAUUAUCUUUGAAUGAUAGUGCUACCCAACACUUACCCUGCCACCAGCUGCAUAAAUCAAAUUUCCCCUUUAUGUUGGGAACAACAACAAAAGCAUUCUUAUGAUCACUGGACAAAUAUCACUAAGAAUAUGGGCUGGAUGCUCCCCCACCAAUGUGAACACACUUCAAGGCUGCAGGAAACUGACUGGUUUGCUAUUGAUUGGACACAGGCCAGGAAUUCUAUGGCUAACUGCAUAUGAAAUUCAAUGGCAAUGUGGGACUAAUCUUUGGCCUAGAUUACCCAUUAGCCAGAUAGGACAAUAUGCUCUGGGAUUCCCACAGAUCCAGAGCCAUUUGUCAAAAACCAACAGACAACCCUCAAAUUUCUCAAAUGUGUUCCACCAAUGGACCAAGUCGGUUUUCCUCUGGUAUGACCAUCCCCUAUCCAUUUCUGUUCCCCAAGUUAGUUUAGAAAAUGUUAUCUGACAUGUUGAGAUCCUAACAAAUUAUACCCAGCAUGUGCUAAAAGAUGCAAAGGCAUCUCUUUAGUCACCUCUCAGAUGACUAUGAUGAGAAAAGCAGUCUUGUAGAACCACAUGGCCCUCAAUGUCUUCAUGGCUGCACAAGAACUUGUGCCAUAAUAAAAACUGAAUGCUAUGUGUACAUUCCAAGCAAUUAAGGAAACAUCACCCUGGCCCUUCAAGAUAUGUACAAACUGAUACUGUGUCUAACUUCAUGAUGUCACUAAGCCGAUGACUAUCUUCAUGGUUCUGGUCACAACCCUUGUGGAAAAAAUUACUGGUAAUUCUAGCUAUGACUAUAGGUACAGGAAUACUCCUAGGCUGUGGAUUAUACUGCUGCUGCACUAUACAUGUGGGAUUGCAAGGUUGCCUCUCUGAAGUUCCUGACACCCUGUUCAACGAUGCUACAACAAAAUUGCCCAAGUCCUGGGACAUUGAGUAUUUUCAAUUGCAGGUAAAGAAGUUCCAUUCCUCAGCCCACUAGGGAUGCCCCUUGCAAGCAGGAAGUAGUUAUACUGAGUCAACAUCCCAACUCAAGAUUGAGGAAUGGAACAGUGUCAGUGAGGAUAUGAUAACACAGCAGAUACUAUAAAAAUCAUCAGGUAUUUAGUUUACUUAGUUUUUAUCUCUUUGUCCUUAACUUCCUCCAGGCAGGAUUGCUUGCACGUAGUCAUUUUGGUAGACAGUAGUUACUAACAAGUGAUUAACUUCAUUAGCCUUUUUUUUUUUUUUAAUUGCAUUUUAGGUUUUUGGGUACAUG